This 426-nucleotide ribosomal RNA is filed under the name uncultured bacterium. RNAcentral describes it as "bacterial SSU rRNA". It matches the Rfam family "Bacterial small subunit ribosomal RNA", at positions 958 to 1397 of the family's 1533-position model. The record is from RNAcentral.
AACGCGAAGAACCUUACCAAGGCUUGACAUCCCAGGAAUCCGCUAGAAAUAGUGGAGUGCCUUCGGGAAUCUGGUGACAGGUGCUGCAUGGCCGUCGUCAGCUCGUGUCGUGAGAUGUUGGGUUAAGUCCCGCAACGAGCGCAACCCUUGUCGUAUGUUGUAUUUUUCAUACGAGACUGCCCGGGCCAACCGGGAGGAAGGUGAGGAUGACGUCAGGUCAGCAUGGCCCUUACGCCUUGGGCUACACACGUCAUACAAUGGCCGGUACAACGCGUUGCCAACCCGCGAGGGGGAGCUAAUCGCACCAAAACCGGUCCCAGUUCGGAUUGGAGGCUGCAACUCGCCUCCAUGAAGUUGGAUUUGCUAGUAACCGUGGGUCAGCAUACCGCGGUGAAUACGUUCCCGGGCCUUGUACACACCGGCUAC